Rhododendron vialii is the source of this 1431-nucleotide long non-coding RNA. RefSeq lists it as uncharacterized. The record is from RefSeq and is a predicted model, not a curated record. The transcript has 2 exons. NCBI's taxonomy places the organism in Eukaryota, Viridiplantae, Streptophyta, Magnoliopsida, Ericales, Ericaceae.
CGUUAGAGUAAACGUAACAUUGAUAUUUUUUGGGCUUAGUUUCGUAUUUAUUAAAAAAAAUUGAGUUUUGAUCUUUAUUUUUCCGAUUUCACUUGUCAAGACAAACCUAUAAUAUACUGUAUAUAAAAAAAAUUGGCGCAUAACUAAGAGUUUUGAAAGAAAAAUGAAUAAGACAAAAAUAAGCAAGUGGCUUAUUUAUACCAAAUGAAGCCUUAUAUUGGUACGCUAUCAUUUUAAAUGAUUCUGACUUGGCGCCUUGAAAUUGCAGAGUACACCUAGAUGAUAAACCUGCUGCCAAAUGUGCCUAGAGUACGAGCAGAGAAAGAAGAUGUGAAGUAUAUAUUUUGUUUCUUGAUGGCAGAAGGAGCAAAGAGCUAAUGAAGAUGGAAUAACUCCCCAUUUCCUAAGCUUAUCUUUAGUUCUCAGCUUCUUUUCUGUUGCCAUCAGUAAGAUAAAGCUGUGCCCAAACUCUAUCGUUGCUUAUAUUUUUGGCUGAAAUCAGGAAUGCUUGAAAACGUGUCUAUUAGUUAGCAUGUAGAUAGUUUAAAUUUAGUUGGCUAGAUAUAUAUUUUUAUGAUUACUCAUGAACUCACGACUUUCAUGGUAGGACUCCCAUAUUCGAAUCAUGUUGAGUUGGAAGAGGGGCUGGUUUGGCCAGGAAAGCAUAAGAAGUCUGGUGUAAAUAAGUUUCCUCAAACAACUCAUCCCAACAGUUGUGUUUGAGAUAUGAUUCUUUCAGUGGAUUCGAUGAUUAAGCCUUGGUUUUUGUUGCCCCAUUUCAGUAUGGUCUUUGUAAGCCUCUCACAGGCCUUGUCCUAUGCUCCUAUUUUACUUGGGUUGCUGUCCCUUCUACUCGCCAACUUAUAGAAAACUUUUAGGCAGUUGCUGCCCCAGAUUCUGAUGCGGAGUUUCCCUUGGCAGUUGCUGCCCCAGAUUCUGAUGUGGAGUUUCCCUUGACAGCAGAAAAUGUGGAGGUUGUGUUGGAUGAAAUUCGACCAUAUCUCAAUUGCUGAUGGUUUUAAUGUCUACACGAAAUCGAUGGCGAUUUUAUGAGGUUGAAGCUGCAAGGAGCAUGAGACUCCUGUCCAAGUUGGGUAACGAGAAUGAAGAUGGGAAUCGAGCAUUGUUUAAUGGAAAUUUUUCCUGAAGUAGUUGCAGUGGAACUUAAAGCAGACAAGGUGACUGGCCUUGAGCUGAAUGAAGAAUACAUAGAGAAGGUAAUAAUGCAUCUCCUUUUGUUACACUGUUAAAGCUUUUAAAGCACUAAGUGUGGUUUUAACAUGUUUUUGAACCAGUUUAUCAUUUUCGAAUUACCAUUUUAGAAAUCAUGCUUUCUGUCCAGAUUCAUAGGGGUAUCAGGAUGCGGAUCUGUAUUGCUCAUAUGACCAUGUAUUGGUCUUGGUCGAUAUAAAAGUAAGACAGUAAAUAGUA